GAUGAACGCUGGCGGCGUGCCUAAUACAUGCAAGUCGAGCGAACAGACGAGGAGCUUGCUCCUCUGACGUUAGCGGCGGACGGGUGAGUAACACGUGGAUAACCUACCUAUAAGACUGGGAUAACUUCGGGAAACCGGAGCUAAUACCGGAUAAUAUAUUGAACCGCAUGGUUCAAUAGUGAAAGACGGUUUUGCUGUCACUUAUAGAUGGAUCCGCGCCGCAUUAGCUAGUUGGUAAGGUCACGGCUUACCAAGGCAACGAUGCGUAGCCGACCUGAGAGGGUGAUCGGCCGCACUGGAACGGGAACACGGUCCAGACUCCUACGGGAGGCAGCAGUAGGGAAUCUUCCGCAAUAGGCGAAAGCCUGACGGAGCAACGCCGCGUGAGUGAUGAAGGUCUUCGGAUCGUAAAACUCUGUUAUUAGGGAAGAACAAAUGUGUAAGUAACUAUGCACGUCUUGACGGUACCUAAUCAGAAAGCCACGGCUAACUACGUG
This 497-nucleotide ribosomal RNA is filed under the name uncultured bacterium. Its description in RNAcentral is "partial 16S ribosomal RNA". It matches the Rfam family "Bacterial small subunit ribosomal RNA", at positions 28 to 507 of the family's 1533-position model. The record is from RNAcentral.